GCGCAGCAGGCGAGAAUAGUCUACAAUGGACGAAAGUCUGAUAGUGCGACGCCGUGUGUGCGAUUAAUUCCUUCGGGAUGUAAAGCACUUUUCUAUGAGAUAAAAGCUCUUUAGGUUAAUAGCUUAUUGAGACGGAUAUUAUUAUAGGAAUAAGCUCCGGCUAACUCCGUGCCAGCAGCCGCGGUAAUACGGAAGGAGCGAGCGUUGUCCGGAUUUACUAGGCGUAAAAGGGCUAGUAGGCGACUAAUUAAGGUUAUAUGUUAAAUCCCACGGCUCAACUGUGGUCCUGCAUGUAAUACUGGUUAGAUAGAGUACUGUAGAGGAAGGCAGAAUUCCUGGAGUAGCGGUGGAAUGCGCAGAUAUCAGGAAGAAUACCAAAAGCGAAGGCAGCCUUCUGGGCAGUUACUGACGCUGAAUAGCG
This 421-nucleotide ribosomal RNA is filed under the name uncultured microorganism. Its description in RNAcentral is "bacterial SSU rRNA". It matches the Rfam family "Bacterial small subunit ribosomal RNA", at positions 346 to 755 of the family's 1533-position model. The record is from RNAcentral.